Molecule: non-coding RNA, 453 nt
Organism: Taeniopygia guttata (zebra finch)
Lineage: Eukaryota; Metazoa; Chordata; Aves; Passeriformes; Estrildidae
Source: RefSeq, a predicted model, not a curated record
UUCUUCUCAUCUAAAGCUGUCUCUCCCUCUCCUGUCCCCUCCUUUGUCACGUCCUGUCCUGUGUCACGGGUGUCUGCAUAUAUUCAUCCCGGAGCUGCUCUGCCCUGCUGCAUAGCCUGUAACAGCCCAAGUCCUGGGGGCUUGAAAUUUGUAAUGCAGGGUGUAGUUUGGCUCUAGACUGGAUUAAGAGAUUGCCGUAACAUGUUUGGUACUGUUAAGUUUUUCUGCAGCUGUUUGACACUAGUCCUAACUUCCUUUCAGAUGCAGACAGUUCAAAUCUGUGGCAGUGGCUCCAGUCCUGGGUGAGGACCUUCCAAUGAGCAGGAGGUCCAGGCAGAUAGCAGCUGUCAAGGCCAAGUCUGCCAGGGAAUCCACUAGGAGUAUGCCAAGCCCCUAUCACCAGCUGGCUGAUGGACCAGGUUUCCUGCACUUAUGAGCCCUCUGGAAGUAUUA